This 804-nucleotide ribosomal RNA is filed under the name uncultured bacterium. RNAcentral describes it as "bacterial SSU rRNA". It matches the Rfam family "Bacterial small subunit ribosomal RNA", at positions 62 to 895 of the family's 1533-position model. The record is from RNAcentral.
UCGAACGAGAAAGCAGGAGCAAUCUUGUGAGUAAAGUGGCGUACGGGUGAGUAACACGUGGAUUAUCUACCCUCUUGUGGGGGAUAACCCUGGGAAACCGGGGCUAAUACCGCAUAAGCUCGAGAGAGGAAAGCAGCAAUGCGCAGGAGGAGGAGUCCGCGGCUGAUUAGCUAGUUGGUAGGGUAACGGCCUACCAAGGCUAUGAUCGGUAGCCGGCCUGAGAGGGCACACGGCCACACUGGCACUGAAACACGGGCCAGACUCCUACGGGAGGCAGCAGUGGGGAAUCUUGCACAAUGGGGGCAACCCUGAUGCAGCGACGCCGCGUGAGCGAUGAAGCCCUUCGGGGUGUAAAGCUCUUUCGGCAGGGAAGAUAAUGACGGUACCUGCAGAAGCAGCUGCGGCUAGCUACGUGCCAGCAGCCGCGGUAAUACGUAGGCAGCAAGCGUUGUUCGGAGUUACUGGGCGUAAAGGGUGUGUAGGCGGCCUUCUAAGUUUGGUGUGAAAUCUCCCGGCUCAACCGGGAGGGUGCGCCGAAGACUGGGGGGCUAGAGUGCGGGAUGGGAGAGUAGAAUUCCUGGUGUAGCGGUGAAAUGCGUAGAUAUCAGGAGGAAUACCUGUGGGUGUAGACGGCUCUCUGGACCGCAACUGACGCUGAGACACGAAAGCGUGGGUAGCAAACAGGAUUAGAUACCCUGGUAGUCCACGCCCUAAACGAUGCAUAUUUUGGUGUAGGUCAUUCAGUUGAUCUGUGCCGGAGCUAACGCGUUAAAUAUGCCGGCUGGGGAGUACAGUCGCAAGGCU